The sequence is a ribosomal RNA, 422 nucleotides long. It matches the Rfam family "Bacterial small subunit ribosomal RNA", at positions 355 to 769 of the family's 1533-position model.
UGGGGAAUCUUCCGCAAUGGACGAAAGUCUGACGGAGCAACGCCGCGUGAACGAUGAAGGUCUUCGGAUUGUAAAGUUCUGUGAUCCGGGACGAAGGCAUUGAUUGAGAACAUUGAUUGAUGUUGACGGUACCGGAAAAGCAAGCCACGGCUAACUACGUGCCAGCAGCCGCGGUAAUACGUAGGUGGCAAGCGUUGUCCGGAAUUAUUGGGCGUAAAGCGCGCGCAGGCGGCCGUGCAAGUCCAUCUUAAAAGCGUGGGGCUUAACCCCAUGAGGGGAUGGAAACUGCAGGGCUGGAGUGUCGGAGGGGAAAGUGGAAUUCCUAGUGUAGCGGUGAAAUGCGUAGAGAUUAGGAAGAACACCGGUGGCGAAGGCGACUUUCUGGACGACAACUGACGCUGAGGCGCGAAAGCGUGGGGAGC